CUUUAUUCACCCGCAGGUACCCCCAGAUCGAUCCCCCUUCAUUGACUCCGAGGGGAUACAGCAGCAAUUCAUGUUUUGAAGUGUUCUAAAUGGUUCAAAACGUGAGGCGCUGCUAUACCCCCUCGUGGGGAAGGUAGAAGGUGGGGUCUGCCGGACGCGUGUUCCUGCCACCAGGUGCCCGCUCCCCGCGAGGCCGGCUCAGGAGCAGAAGGAAGCCCGGUGCCAGCCAGCCUUCCUGAAAGACCAAGCCCGCGCCAUCCGGCUUCCUCCAGUGGACGCCUGCAGGACCCAGGAACACUACAUCAACACUGUUGGCGGGGACCUGGACACAGAAGACUCCUGUUUCAAGAAAAUACAAUCAUCUCUCAAAGGCUGUAAUUUAUAUGCAUUUUAAAACUCUAGGCAUUGAAAACCACCCAAGUGUCCCAAAUAGAAGGGUAAUAUAUAAUCAAUCACUCAGUGUAAUAUUAUACAUCCUUUAAAAAUGUUAUUGGGAAAUGUUUUAUGAUCUGUAAGUCCAAGGAAUCCUCUCCCACCAUUUCUUUCCCCCCGCUGUUCCCCCAUACCCACACUUCUUUGUUCCAAUUGGCAUGUAAAUUUGGUUUUCCCGCCAAAUGAGUCAGUCAUGAUGGGAACCUCAACUGAUUUGAACAGAUGUGUGUCAAUGUUACUUGGAAAACUAGAUGUCAAUAACCAGGGUCACAGAAAAAGGCAGUGGUCACAACUCUGUAAAAAUGUAUGCAUGCACACAGACAAGAACUAAAGUGGAACCCCAC
RNAcentral lists this long non-coding RNA (776 nucleotides) under Homo sapiens (human). RNAcentral's name for it is "non-protein coding MIR503HG:1". The stretch from base 49 to 132 matches the Rfam family "mir-322 microRNA precursor family". Lineage: Eukaryota; Metazoa; Chordata; Mammalia; Primates; Hominidae. The record is from RNAcentral.